Molecule: long non-coding RNA, 1290 nt
Organism: Lathyrus oleraceus (garden pea)
Lineage: Eukaryota; Viridiplantae; Streptophyta; Magnoliopsida; Fabales; Fabaceae
Exons: 2
Source: RefSeq, a predicted model, not a curated record
UCACCUACACUCCCAAAGGUAAUGUCGUCCCCAAUGUUGAAAAGGAAAGAAGAGAGGGACCACAGAGAGAAUUUUUAGAGGCCUCUCACCAUCAGGAUGGGACUAUAUAAGGAGAACAAAGAAUAUGUUAAAAGGGGAGGAAACCCUAAGAAUCGUUUUUCGACGGCGAGGAGAAUAUCAAAACCCUAACGAAAUCAAGAAGGAGAAGAAGGAGAUAACCUAGACUUUGUGCUUUUCCGCAGAGAAGACGCGAGAUUCCAUUUGAACGCCGUCGGAGAAUCAAACGCGCCGGAGUUUAGAGGACCCAACAUCACCGUCAAUAUCUUCGUGGAAAGAGACUUGUGUUGGGAAUUGAUACCCAUGCUGCAGCAGUUUUGACCUUUCCUUUCUGUCGGCUUCUCAUUGAUUUGCUAAUUGACAAUUAAUGCUGGCCGCGUCCCCAUGACUACUGCCCAACGGCCACGCAGCUAGGAUGUGUUUGAUAUUCCCGGUGCCACCUCAUCUCGGGCCAAGCCGGAGCGGGUCUCAUUUGACCCGACCCAAAACAGUCCCAGAGACUGUUGGGUGAUCAUCAAGCCCAAGUAUUUGUUGCCCACCGCCCACCUUUAGUUAGGUUGUUUUCCUUUUUUUUCUUUCUAUUUUCUUUCGCCUUUUGCUUAUGUGAUAGGGUCACUGUCAAAGUAACAGUCGACUGUCUGUGGCCUGGUGGAGGGGAAGUUGUGCCAACUCCCUUUAAGUGGUGGGUUCGAUACUUGUGCAUUACAUAUUUGGUUUUAUAAUAUUUUAAUUUCUUUUGCGUAUUUCUUUUUAAUCCUCCCAUGUUCAUGUUUUAUUAUAAUUUCUCUGAUACUCAUUAUUUUUAAUGUUUACUUCUUUUAUUUAUUUUUAAUUGACAAAGCCUCGAUUUUAAUUUAUGGAUUCAACUACUCUCAUGUUUGUUUAUCCAUGAUUAUUUUAUCGAGAUAACGAUAGAAUUUCGUCGCGUUUCGGUUGGUCACACAUGAUCAUUCAAUGUUGACAUGAUGCAUAAACUGGUUUUGAGUACAGUACUUAGUUGUAAUUCCCCCAUCUCCACACCCUUGUAAGCCGAUUGCUUUUAAGCAUCGCCACCAACCUCACAUAGCUUACUCUUGGGCUUUCUUACAAUGAGACGGUUCGCUUGCACUUACACUCAUGCAUUGCUCGUUGAUUAUUAUGUUCCAUUUUAAUUAUUCCACUACUUUGAAUCCCCAUUUGACAAAAUGUACCCCCACUCCCAUGAUGCGUAAUAAUAUUUUACUGUUUUUCUUU